GUUUACUUGGUCUCAUGGACUUUUAUUUGGACUAGUGCUGGCCCUUUAAAGCAGUGUAUGGACAUAUUGAAACUUUUGGGACACUUUUUCUGCCCCUUUGAAUCCAGAGGAAGGUGUGCCUCUUCCCCUUCCCCUUCCCCUGUCCUAUUGUUCUCCAGCAGGGCGUUGUCCCAGGGACACUGCCAAACCAGUUGGAACUGGUUCCUCCUCGGUCAAAAUAUGAUCCACCUAUCUCCUGAACCAGUUCCAGUGCCCCACAAGGUCCAUGUAGGUGGUAACCUUGCUGGGAAAGUUGUAUAUAAG
This is a non-coding RNA of Pelobates cultripes (western spadefoot toad), 303 nucleotides long. The record is from the annotation of a GenBank genome assembly. Lineage: Eukaryota; Metazoa; Chordata; Amphibia; Anura; Pelobatidae.